UGUCCAUGGUGUAGUGGUUUGAGUGUUGGACUUCAACUCUGGAGACCAGGGUUCAAUUCCCCGCUUGAUCA
RNAcentral lists this transfer RNA (71 nucleotides) under Phrynosoma platyrhinos (Desert horned lizard). Its description in RNAcentral is "tRNA-OTHER". The record is from RNAcentral. Lineage: Eukaryota; Metazoa; Chordata; Lepidosauria; Squamata; Phrynosomatidae.